RNAcentral lists this ribosomal RNA (497 nucleotides) under uncultured bacterium. Its description in RNAcentral is "partial 16S ribosomal RNA". It matches the Rfam family "Bacterial small subunit ribosomal RNA", at positions 28 to 507 of the family's 1533-position model. The record is from RNAcentral.
GAUGAACGCUGGCGGCGUGCCUAAUACAUGCAAGUCGAGCGAACGGACGAGACGCUUGCUUCUCUGAUGUUAGCGGCGCACGGGUGAGUAACACGUGGAUAACCUACCUAUAAGACUGGGAUAAUUUCGGGAAACGGGCGCUAAUACCGGAUAAUCUUUUGAACCGCAGUGUUGAAAAGUGAAAGACGGUCUUGCUGUCACUUCUCGAUGGUUCCGCGCUGCAUUAGCUAGUUGGUACGGUAACGGCUUACCAAGGCUACGAGGCCUAGCCGACGUGACAGGGUGAUAGCCCACACUGGAGCUGGGACACGGUCCAGAGGCCUACGGGAGGCAGCAGUAGGGAAUCGGACGCAAUGGGCGGAAACCUGGCGGAGCAACGCCGCGUGUGUGAUAAAGGUCUUGCGAGCGGAAAGCUCUGUUAUUAGGUGAAAACAUAUUUGGAAUGUACUGUGCACAUCUUGACGGUACCUAGUCAGAAAGCCACGGCUAACUACGUG